AUGAUAACAGCCCUCACCUACCUCUUUGUGGACAAGGGAUUGUGUUUCCCAAAUGCCAAAUGCCUACAGGAGGUGGCCGCAGUAAUCGGACUCAACCUCCACUGCGGGGCGGCCGGGUUAGGGGCCAGCAGCGGCGGGGCCUCCUCUUCCGGAGGGCGGCUUUUGGCUUCGGGGAAGGAGGCCACGGCCCGGCGGGAGGUAGGGGGAGGGGAAGCCGGUGCGGGGACUGGCGGAAGCGCCGGCGCCAGUGCCCCGGCCACUCUUGCGCCGGACGCCCGGAGGGUCGCGCGGCCCUCGCCCAUUAGCGCCGAGGGCCCCGACGUCACCGCGACACCCCCCGCGCCCCGAGGCUGCUGGUCUUCGAGCCCACUCGCCGCGCGUCGCCGCCGCCUGGAGAGAUGGAAGGCCCAGCCGCCGACGCCAUCAUGUCGCCCGAAGAGGAGCUGGACGGGUACGAGCCGGAACCUCUGGGGAAGCGGCCGGCUGUCCUGCCCUUGCUGGAGUCGGUCGGGGAGGCCAGCAGUGGCCCUUGCAGGGACGGCUCACUGCCCUCGACGCCACCCCCAGCAGAGGAGGAGGAAGACGAGCUGUACCGGCAGUCGCUGGAGAUUAUCUCUCGGUACCUUCGGGAGCAGGCAACAGGCGCCAAGGACGCGAGACCACUGGCCGGGUGUGGGGCGGUCGGCUGGAAGGCGUUAGAGGCCCUCCGACGGGUCGGGGACCGGCUUCAGCGCAACCACGAGACGGCCUUCCGAGGUAUGCUUCGGAAACUGGACAUCAAAAACGAAGAAGAUGUCAAGUCUUUGUCUCCAGUGAUGGUCCACGUUUUCAGUGACGGAGUAACAAACUGGGGCAGGAUUGUGACUCUUAUUUCUUUUGGUGCCUUUGUGGCCAAACACCUGAAGAGGAUAGACCAAGAAAGCUGCAUCGAACCCUUAGCAGAAAGCAUCACAGAUGUUCUCGUGAGGACAAAACGAGACUGGCUAGUGAAACAAAGAGCCUGGGAUGGGUUUGUGGAGUCCUUCCACGUAGAGGACCUAGAAGGUGGCAUCAGAAAUGUGUUGCUGGCUCUUGCAGGUGUUGCUGGAGUAGGAGCUGGUUUGGCAUAUCUAAUAAGAUAGCCUUUUAAGUGCAAUGAUUGACUUUUAACCAACCCGCACCAAAACCACAUACGACUGCUGUGAAAUCAAAGGUAUUUAUGAAGUUGGACUUUGAGCUGUCCAGGCUGUAACCUCCAAGAGUUCGACCCUAGCAACGUACAACAGCAAGUGGCAAGAGGAUUAUGGCUAACAGGAAUAAAUACAUGGGAAAAGUAGUCCCCCUUGAAGAGUCACUGUCUAAAAGAAGCAGAGGUCAGUUCAGCAACAGGCAAACUUUGGGAGGCCAUGGAGGAGGACUUUUCGAUUUAGUGAAGAUGGUAGGGUUGAAGAGACUUAAUUUCCUUGUCUAGAACGGGAGAGUGGCCAGUAGCCAGGCUAGUCCUAGAGUCCAUUAAAUAUGUCCACUGAAUUCAUUAACUUCCUACAGCAUUACAAGAGCAGCUGUGGCAAUGGCAUUGAUCUGUAUAAAAUGGAUUGAAGCUACAGGUAAUAGAACUAUGACUAGAAGCCUGAGUACUGUACAACGGAGUGUGAAGGGAAGCUUUUGCUCUGUAAUUAGCUUUCCGAGGUAUACUUCCUGAAUAGAAAGUCCAAGUGCUCAGGACUUUUAUACCUGUUCUGCUUUGGCUUGGUUUGAGUGGUUUAGUUUUAAUAGCCUGGU
Molecule: RNA transcript, 1761 nt
Organism: Odobenus rosmarus divergens (Pacific walrus)
Lineage: Eukaryota; Metazoa; Chordata; Mammalia; Carnivora; Odobenidae
Gene name: induced myeloid leukemia cell differentiation protein Mcl-1 homolog
Exons: 2
Source: RefSeq, a predicted model, not a curated record